GUUUCUAGUGAAUGAUGAAACCCAAGUACCUGAGUGGAAGAAACUGAUUCAGGGCCACCAAUCCCCUCAGAAAUAAGAGGUCAUCACUGAAGACUUGAGCUGUCCUGUGGUUACAGUGUCCUGUUGAAAAAGCGUGGACCUUGGCAUGAGAUAACACUUGAUCUGCCAGCAUCCCUGUUCUGCAGAAAGAGGAGCGUCAAGAACCUGAGCUGAGAAUCCUGAGUCCUGGCCGCUGAACCCUGAGAAACAAGAGCUCAUCACUUCAAGUUUGGGUUGUCUUGUAGUUACAG
This is a long non-coding RNA of Mauremys reevesii (Reeves's turtle), 290 nucleotides long. RefSeq lists it as uncharacterized. NCBI's taxonomy places the organism in Eukaryota, Metazoa, Chordata, Testudines, Geoemydidae. The transcript has 3 exons. The record is from RefSeq and is a predicted model, not a curated record.